RNAcentral lists this ribosomal RNA (254 nucleotides) under uncultured bacterium. RNAcentral's name for it is "partial 16S ribosomal RNA". It matches the Rfam family "Bacterial small subunit ribosomal RNA", at positions 524 to 776 of the family's 1533-position model. The record is from RNAcentral.
UACGGGGGGAGCAAGCGUUGUUCGGAUUUACUGGGCGUAAAGGGCGCGUAGGCGGCCAUCUCAAGUCAAUUGUGAAAUCUCCGGGCUUAACUCGGAAAGGUCAACUGAUACUGCGGGGCUAGAGUGCGGAAGGGGCAACUGGAAUUCUCGGUGUAGCGGUGAAAUGCGCAGAUAUCAGGAAGAACACCUAUGGCGAAAGCAGCUCUCUGGGACGGUACUGACGCUGAGACGCGAAAGCGUGGGGAGCGAACAGG